CAGACCUCUGUUCCAAACACAGCUCAACAGAGGACAGGAAUAUGAUCACUGGGUGCCCAGCUAAAGCAGCUUUCCCUGGGUGAACUGUCAAGGAAAGCAUGACCCACAGCACUGCUCUCCUCUGGAUGACUCCUCUGCACACACCUCAGUGGAGAACAGCCAUCCCUGUGAGUUCCACAUUUUGGAGGGAACAAGGGAAUACUUGCAGCUUUUCAUACUGCUUUGAACAGCUGAUCAGAGGAAACGGAAGGAGUAAAAACUUGAUCUACUAAUAGCUACUCUGGUGCCCUGCUAACUAUCUGCUCCCUCUGCCUUGCUCACUUGCAAAUGUGUGUCCCAAACUAUUAGGAAAAUAAAAACCCUAAAGCAGGAUGUAAGAAGUGUGUACCCUUGGCACGUGCAUAGGAGGUGGUGUUUGCAGGAGUCUCCAAGCCAGCAGCUGAGGAAUCUUGGCUUCAGGUUUUCCAGCUGGUGCACGAGGUAGAGUGGGAGGAGUGUAAUCCAAGGAAGACAAAGGGAAGAAGAAAUGUAAUUUUCAUAUGGAAAAAUCUUCUUUUGGCAUAAAAAAUCAAAAUUGUUCCAACGAAAUGUUCUUCCAGUAUCUGGAAUCAAUGAGCAGCUGCCAACACCCAUGACCCUCUCCAGCUUCUAACAGGGCAGACAGGAUCAGACUGGAUCAGAGCUCCAGCACCAGCCAACUGAGCUUUUUUUUAUUAAUUCUAUUUUCAUAAUGUCCAAACCUAAAAUUGAGGUUAACUGAAUAGUGUGGAGUAGCUGGCAUAAGGAGGAAUACUGUUAGGUUCUAAUUUGCAAAGUGGUCUUUUUUUUCCCCAAGAACUAGAUCAUAUAGAUGUUAAAUCUUUGUACAUCACAGCCUGCAAAUCUGAGGUUCAUAAAGGUUUUGUAUAUAUGUGCAUACAUAUAUAUAUAUACACAUACGUACAUAUUUAUAUAAAUGGCAUGGUACUUUCAAUGUACUUUUUACAUUGUACUUCACAUUUUACUGUACAUUCAACUGCCUCCCCACAUCUCAUAUGAAUUUUCUGAAUUAUUUGUCCUAUGCUUGCUUAUCUGUAAUUCCAGAAUAACUUAAAAAAUUAGAGUUCUCAUACUGGUGUUUCGGUAAGUUAACAGCAGAAGACUGUUUCAGAAUAUUUAAAUGGGAUCCCUAUUUUAUUUUUCUAUUAUCUUUCUUCCUCCCCACCCUUCAUUCAGUAAGCGAUUGCCAGAUUACCAGAGGUAGGGGAGUGUUUCAUAUAUUUCCUUGUAGGUAGUUUUAAGGCUCAAAUAGUUUCUCCUGCUUUCAUUUAUUAAUGUGAGACAGAGUUUAAAGUACAGACAGACGCAACACACAUUCAUUUGGCAGUGACAGGUUAACCAGACUUUCUAAAGAAUAUUAAACACUGUUCAAUCAGUGUCACUCUCCAGUUCUUUGUUUGGUCCUUUAUCUGGAAUCUGAACGAGGAAUUAAACUCCCACAUGAGAUAAUAGUCAGUCAUUCUGAUGUGAAAGAACUUCCAUAAUUAAUCCUCCAAGGUGGAAUCCCACCCAGUGCAGAGGACCAGCCAGGGGCAGACAAACCACUUCAGCCUGACGUGAGUCUAUUGAAGCCUCAAACAACACAACAAACCCUGGGCUGCUCCUUCCAAAGAGACUUUUUCACUGCAAGACAUUGAAUCACCUCCCUUCUGGAGAAGUUAAUUGUGGUUACACCAAAGGCCAAAUUAAUUUCAUCAUCAGCUUACAAAUCAAAGUUGGGUCAAUAAGUACCAACAUACUACUUCAAAUAAUAAAAUCUCUUAUAAGGCAAACAGUACUAGAGAUUGGCUAAUGGCCUAGACCAGACCUGACGUGGAUCUUCUCAUGCUCUAAAUCACAAGGCUAGAAAUUCAACUCACUUCAAUUGUCAGGAACCCAAUGAAGUUCAACAGAUUUUUUCUAAGGACCUCUCUGUAUUUUUGACUAUCAUAGAAAAAGAAGGACCUUAAGAAAAUAAAAAAAAAAAAAGAAAAGGGGAAAAAAAGGAGUAUUUAAGAGUCUUUUGAUUACCUUAAGAUAUCAACUAUAAGAAAUUCUAUUUGAAAUAAUUAUGUCGUUUUCCAAGAAGUACCAUUCAGCAACUGCUCCAUUUACCUCCUGGCAAAGCUUAGAUAAGGAGGACAGUUCUCCAGACAUGACUCUGCUAAACCAAGGCAGGGGGUUAGUUUCAGCCAUAUUCCUCCAAAAUGUUUUUAUAAUCCUCAUCUGAUACCUCUGUUUUCUUAGAUUUCAGCUCAGACUAAGCAGUAACUCAUCUUGGUAGGACAUGAAAAUAGUCGAAUCUAACACAACGAAAUAAAUUCAGAGUCAAGUCACGUUAGGAAAGAUCACUGUGUUUCCCUUUCCAUUUGGGAACCAUGGAACACUGAACUACCCAAUUAUUUUUUGGAAGAAUGAAGGGCUUCAAGCACAAUAACAACAAAGCAGAAGCAUUACUCAGACUACUGACUGCACUAAAUGUGGUUUAUGCCACCUGAAAUCAGUCUGUUGUGGCAUUAAUACAUAAAUAUUCAGUAUGUCACUGAAAGCCACUAAAAAUUUUUACUCUUGUUAAACAUGAUCUGCUUCCCAUGUUUCAUUUUGGAAAGACCAAAAUCUGUGAGACUCUGCUCCACUUUCAUUUUUCCAGACUGAGGGAGAACUCUGUAGCAUAGCCGUCUGUCCAGCUGUGGGAUUCAGAUCACCCAUUCCUAAUAUCUCUGUGCCAGCACACCUGUUUUCCAGCUGGGCUUUGGCUUCAUCCUUCCUCUGGCUGACCCACAGUUAAACCACUGAUGCUGGUGCCCAAGGAGAGUCAGGAAUGCCAAAUACACACACAAGUGAGCCUGUAAUGAAUCCCUAUUGUAAUUCCAUCUAUUGUGCAAAGUCCAUGGAUUAAAUGCUACUUUGCCAACACGUGAAUGUUUUCUGGGGUGUGUAUUUAUUGGCAAGAAAAAUUGACUAGCAGGGUACCUGAAUUUUAUUCACAACAUCUAUUCAUAGCACAUAGACCUAUUCUACAAUAGGCCACUAUUAAAAAAAUCAACAAAAGGUUGCAGCAUUGUCUGAGCUUCUCUGGCAAUUUUCUCUCUCACAUUAGACAUGUCUUACUUGCCUUUUGUUAUCCAAGGAGGAAUUAUUUGUAUAAUGUUCCACUGUGCUUUAAAUAGUUCCCCAGUUCCUUUCUCAUAUGAAUUAAGACUAAAAUUAUGUUAUUGAACAAAUAUUAUUCCUUUGUUGCCUCAAAUUCUCAGUUUCAGAUGUGUUGGGGUUAAAAAAAGGUCCUCCCUAACUCCUGCAAAGCCCUCCAGGGAGUCCCUGUCACAUUUAAUCUUUCUCUGUCUCCCUGUUUCUCAGGGUGUCUUCUGAAUAACAGCAGUUUUGUCUAUUUUUUAUUUGCUCUCUCUCUUACACACACCCAAUUGAAGAAAAGUAAUUGAAACCAUGGCAUCUCACCUUGCAGUAUCUGUGUAGUUUGAACCGACAAGUAUCUAGAGAUCAAAUUUCUGCUUAUCAGCCACAUAAAUGUGCUCCAAAGCCUGGAGACAUCAGUGAACUCUGCAGGAGUUCACUUGCUGAGCAGGUGUUUGUGGCCCAUCACAGGAAGAGAGAUUUGGGCUGAAAUAGCUUUUCACCUCUACAAACUGAGUAGCUUUUGCUGCAAUUUGCACCUCUGGACCUACCAGUCAGUACAGUGACACCCAGGUUACUCUGAGUUCAUCUGCCAGUCCAGGCCAAACACAACAGUGAGGCAUCAAACAGCUGUGUGUCUCCUGCCCAGGUUUUGCUGUAAAACAUUAAGUGGUGUAGCUGCAGGAGCUCUGUCUUGCCACGCUGGAGCCACAGCUGCUGCAGCAAGAGCCUCUUUCCAUGGCAUAGAACACAGACUUCUGACUUACCACCAGAAACUUCCUCUCAUUUUUCACACAACUGACCAUGUUGUUUUUAGCUAUGCA
This is a long non-coding RNA of Pseudopipra pipra, 3974 nucleotides long. RefSeq lists it as uncharacterized. The record is from RefSeq and is a predicted model, not a curated record. The transcript is spliced from 4 exons. NCBI's taxonomy places the organism in Eukaryota, Metazoa, Chordata, Aves, Passeriformes, Pipridae.